This 483-nucleotide ribosomal RNA is filed under the name uncultured bacterium. Its description in RNAcentral is "partial 16S ribosomal RNA". It matches the Rfam family "Bacterial small subunit ribosomal RNA", at positions 30 to 507 of the family's 1533-position model. The record is from RNAcentral.
UUGAACGCUGGCGGCAGGCCUAACACAUGCAAGUCGAGCGGAUGAAGGGAGCUUGCUCCUGGAUUCAGCGGCGGACGGGUGAGUAAUGCCUAGGAAUCUGCCUGGUAGUGGGGGAUAACGUCCGGAAACGGGCGCUAAUACCGCAUACGUCCUGAGGGAGAAAGUGGGGGAUCUUCGGACCUCACGCUAUCAGAUGAGCCUAGGUCGGAUUAGCUAGUUGGUGGGGUAAAGGCCUACCAAGGCGACGAUCCGUAACUGGUCUGAGAGGAUGAUCAGUCACACUGGAACUGAGACACGGUCCAGACUCAUACGGGAGGCAGCAGUGGGGAAUAUUGGAAAAUGGGCGAAAGCCUGAUCCAGCCAUGCCGCGUGUGGGAAGAAGGUCUUCGGAUUGUAAAGCACUUUAAGUUGGGAGGAAGGGAAGUAAGUUAAUACCUUGCUGUUUUGACGUUACCAACAGAAUAAGCACCGGCUAACUUCGUG